RNAcentral lists this ribosomal RNA (492 nucleotides) under uncultured bacterium. RNAcentral describes it as "partial 16S ribosomal RNA". It matches the Rfam family "Bacterial small subunit ribosomal RNA", at positions 29 to 507 of the family's 1533-position model. The record is from RNAcentral.
AGUGAACGCUGGCGGUAGGCCUAACACAUGCAAGUCGAACGGCAGCACAGUAAGAGCUUGCUCUUACGGGUGGCGAGUGGCGGACGGGUGAGGAAUACAUCGGAAUCUACUUUUUCGUGGGGGAUAACGUAGGGAAACUUACGCUAAUACCGCAUACGACCUACGGGUGAAAGCAGGGGAUCUUCGGACCUUGCGCGAUUGAAUGAGCCGAUGUCGGAUUAGCUAGUUGGCGGGGUAAAGGCGCACCAAGGCGACGAUCCGUAGCUGGUCUGAGCGGAUGAUCAGCCACACUGGCACUGAGACACGGUCCAGACUCCUACAGGAGGCAGCAGUGGGGAAUAUUGGACGAUGGGCGCAAGCCUGAUCCAGGCAUACCGGGUGGGUGAAGAAGGCCUUCGGGUGGUAAAGCCCUUUUGUUGGGAAAGAAAAGCAGCAGGUUAAUACCCCGCUGUUCUGACGGUACCCAAAGAAUAAGCACCGGCUAACUUCGUG